RNAcentral lists this long non-coding RNA (637 nucleotides) under Malus domestica (apple). RNAcentral's name for it is "long non-coding RNA (MDOM_LNC010543)". Lineage: Eukaryota; Viridiplantae; Streptophyta; Magnoliopsida; Rosales; Rosaceae. The record is from RNAcentral.
CACUAAGGUAACCUACGGCUUGCCCUUCGAGCAGUAAAGCCACGCUAGACUUAUAUAAUCACACAUUCUUGUGAAAGGUUAAACAAGUUAGCAUGCAUAUAAUAAGCUUUAUUCACUACCGACAUGCUACGUAGUUGAUAAGCUUCACCUCUGCCAAGUGCGGAACGACCUACACCAAGUCCUAAAGUGUUGUGAUACUUACUACGUAACCUAUGGAAUUAGAGAAAGCCAAGGUUAAUAGCCUAGUGGUCACGCAAACUUGUUUGCUUUUGUAAGUAAGGUAUCCGGCUGUCGACCCUAUGGCUAACUACUUUGCAAAGUUUUGCACUAACAGCUACGCCGGCCUGUCUGCUUAUAGAAAAGUAGCACGUCUACCACUAGUCUAUAAAGUCUAAAGGUUAGGGCAUGAACGAAAGAAGCAAAGAUGGAGAAAAAUGAAGGAAGCAAGUUUAUUAAAUUUUCUAGCAAAAUUGAUAAACAACUAGCAAAGACCGAAGGAGUUCAAGCAAAGCAAAAAGCAACGAGGGAAACAAAGAAAAUCCUAAAGACUACCUAGAAGACUACUUUUCAGCAGCUUGGACACUCCACGACUACUUCGUCGUCGCCACACCUUCAGCAGCUGUGACAUUUUCAGCAG